This 553-nucleotide small RNA is filed under the name Pan troglodytes (chimpanzee). RNAcentral's name for it is "retained intron". Lineage: Eukaryota; Metazoa; Chordata; Mammalia; Primates; Hominidae. The record is from RNAcentral.
UUACAUUUUCAGUUAUUGAAAUAGAUGCACACAGUUAGCCAGAGGGUAAAGGAAAUGUUGAAAAUUUCUCGGUGCUUGCCUGGUGAGCCCUGCAUGGGGUCAUGGUGCCAUGGGGCACACUGACAAGGGAUUUCAUGUGAUCAGGUCUCGUUUCAGUUCCUCCCUGCCUUUCUCUGUCUUCAUCUGUCCCUCUGCAGAGUGAAAGCAGCAGCAGUAGCAACAUCUCCACCAUGUUGGUGACACACGAUUACACGGCAGUGAAGGAGGAUGAGAUCAACGUCUACCAAGGAGAGGUCGUUCAAAUUCUGGCCAGCAACCAGCAGAACAUGUUUCUGGUGUUCCGAGCCGCCACUGACCAGUGCCCCGCAGCUGAGGGCUGGAUUCCAGGCUUUGUCCUGGGCCACACCAGUGCAGUCAUCGUGGAGAACCCGGACGGGACUCUCAAGAAGUCAACAUCUUGGCACACAGCACUCCGUUUAAGGAAAAAAUCUGAGAAAAAAGAUAAAGACGGCAAAAGGGAAGGCAAGUUAGAGAACGGUUAUCGGAAGUCACG